UACGAAGGGGGCUAGCGUUGCUCGGAAUCACUGGGCGUAAAGCGCACGUAGGCGGAUUCUUAAGUCGGUGGUGAAAUCCUGGAGCUCAACUCCAGAACUGCCUUUGAUACUGGAGAGCUUGAGUCCGGAAGAGGUGAGUGGAACUCCGAGUGUAGAGGUGAAAUUCGUAGAUAUUCGGAAGAACACCAGUGGCGAAGGCGGCUCACUGGUCCGGUACUGACGCUGAGGUGCGAAAGCGUGGGGAGCAAACAGG
Molecule: ribosomal RNA, 253 nt
Filed under: uncultured bacterium
Lineage: Bacteria
Description: partial 16S ribosomal RNA
Rfam family: Bacterial small subunit ribosomal RNA
Source: RNAcentral